This 495-nucleotide ribosomal RNA is filed under the name uncultured bacterium. RNAcentral's name for it is "partial 16S ribosomal RNA". It matches the Rfam family "Bacterial small subunit ribosomal RNA", at positions 28 to 507 of the family's 1533-position model. The record is from RNAcentral.
GAUGAACGCUGGCGGCGUGCCUAAUACAUGCAAGUAGAACGCUGAAGGAGGAGCUUGCUCUUCUGGAUGAGUUGCGAACGGGUGAGUAACGCGUAGGUAACCUGCCUGGUAGCGGGGGAUAACUAUUGGAAACGAUAGCUAAUACCGCAUGACAACAGUUAUUGCAUGAUAACUGUUUAAAAGGGGCAACUGCUCCCCUACCAGAUGGACCUGCGUUGUAUUAGCUAGUUGGUGAGGUAACGGCUCACCAAGGCGACGAUACAUAGCCGACCUGAGAGGGUGAUCGGCCACACUGGGACUGAGACACGGCCCAGACUCCUACGGGAGGCAGCAGUAGGGAAUCUUCGGCAAUGGACGGAAGUCUGACCGAGCAACGCCGCGUGAGUGAAGAAGGUUUUCGGAUCGUAAAGCUCUGUUGUAAGAGAAGAACGAGUGUGAGAGUGGAAAGUUCACACUGUGACGGUAUCUUACCAGAAAGGGACGGCUAACUACGUG